RNAcentral lists this small RNA (544 nucleotides) under Vigna angularis var. angularis. Its description in RNAcentral is "Non-protein coding transcript". The record is from RNAcentral. Lineage: Eukaryota; Viridiplantae; Streptophyta; Magnoliopsida; Fabales; Fabaceae.
GUUGAUUCUUCUUCCAUUAGAAAGUAGAUUCGAAUAGCUUCGAUUCGAGUACUCAUACGCGUAAUUCCGACAUCGGGAAGGGGUUCAACCAGACUGACAAAGUUGUCCGAGUGAGUGUACACGUUUUUGACGCGUUUUACUGUUUAAACGCGUUUUACUGUUUAAACGCGUUUCUGGCCAAAUGUUUGGCUAUUUAAGGACGUCCCAGGGGUUGGAAUGGUUCCUAAGUUGAACCAAAGGCUAGAGUACGAAGGUUUUGGAGCAGAGGGACUUUAGAGCUGUGAUUUGAGUCGGGGGAAACGUUCGCAAAGUGUUUCGAAAGGCUAGCUGAGGAGAAAACCAAGUUGGUGAUAUGCCGGUGGAGCAAGCUUUAGACGGAGGAUCGACGGAAGCUUAGUUAUAAGAAUGAGACUUAUACUUUUAGUCUCUGUUUUAAGCUUGAAUUGUAUUUAGUUUGAAUUAUGAGUGAGGGUUUGUAUAAUAAUGAGGAAAACUGUUAUUCCUCCUCCUAUCAACUGUUCUAUUGUAUCAAUGAUAUAAGAAC